UUGUUAUAAAAUAGAGUAAAACGUUAGAACGCGUAGUACGUACCGUCGACGACUGCAAUUAAUUGCUUUAACGAGAAAGUUAAUACAAAAUAACUUUCUUUACUAUAGCGACCUCAGAGCAGGUGAGACUACCCGCUGAAUUUAAGCAUAUUACUAAGCGGAGGAAAAGAAACUAACCAGGAUUCCCUCAGUAACGGCGAGUGAACAGGGAAGAGCCCAGCGCCGAAUCCCCGCCGCGCGUCGCGGCGUGGGAAAUGUGGCGUACGGAAGACCCACUCCCCG
Molecule: ribosomal RNA, 282 nt
Filed under: Nocardioides oceani
Lineage: Bacteria; Bacillati; Actinomycetota; Actinomycetes; Propionibacteriales; Nocardioidaceae
Description: partial 23S ribosomal RNA
Rfam family: Eukaryotic large subunit ribosomal RNA (bases 109-282)
Source: RNAcentral